CCCAGACUCCUACGGGAGGCAGCAGUGAGGAAUAUUGGUCAAUGGGCGGAAGCCUGAACCAGCCAAGUCGCGUGAGGGAUUAAGGCCCUGCGGGUCGUAAACCUCUUUUGCCGGGGAGCAGUGGUCCGGACGCGUCCGGACCGGGAGAGUACCCGGAGAAAAAGCAUCGGCUAACUCCGUGCCAGCAGCCGCGGUAAUACGGAGGAUGCGAGCGUUAUCCGGAUUUAUUGGGUUUAAAGGGUGCGUAGGCGGGCAUUUAAGCCGGCGGUAAAAUGUGGGGGCUCAACCCCGGCCUGCCGUCGGAACUGGGUGCCUUGAGUGGGCGAGAAGUAUGCGGAAUGCGUGGUGUAGCGGUGAAAUGCAUAGAUAUCAGGAGGAACACCGGCGGCGAAGGCGGCCUGCUGGACCGCGACUGACGUUGAGGCUCGAAAGCGUGGGGAGCGAACAGGAUUAGAUACCCUCGUAA
Molecule: ribosomal RNA, 466 nt
Filed under: uncultured bacterium
Lineage: Bacteria
Description: partial 16S ribosomal RNA
Rfam family: Bacterial small subunit ribosomal RNA
Source: RNAcentral